RNAcentral lists this ribosomal RNA (450 nucleotides) under uncultured bacterium. Its description in RNAcentral is "partial 16S ribosomal RNA". It matches the Rfam family "Bacterial small subunit ribosomal RNA", at positions 338 to 795 of the family's 1533-position model. The record is from RNAcentral.
CCUACGGGUGGCUGCAGUGGGGAAUAUUGGACAAUGGGCGCAAGCCUGAUCCAGCAAUGCCGCGUGUGUGAAGAAGGCCUGCGGGUUGUAAAGCACUUUAAGCAGGAAAGAAGGCUUCAGGGUUAAUACCCUUGGGGAUUGACGUUACCUGCAGAAUAAGCACCGGCUAACUCCGUGCCAGCAGCCGCGGUAAUACGGAGGGUGCGAGCGUUAAUCGGAAUUACUGGGCGUAAUGCGCGAAGAGGGCGGUGAAAGCCCCGGGCUUAAACUGGGAACUGCAGUGGAGACUGGCAAGCUAGAGUAUGGUAGAGGAGAGUGGAAUUUCCGGUGUAGCAGUGAAAUGCGUAGAGAUCGGAAGGAACACCAGUGGCGAAGGCGGCUCUCUGGACUAAUACUGACGCUGAGGUGCGAAAGCGUGGGGAGCAAACAGGAUUAGAUACCCCUGUAGUC